RNAcentral lists this ribosomal RNA (679 nucleotides) under Salmonella enterica. RNAcentral's name for it is "bacterial SSU rRNA". It matches the Rfam family "Bacterial small subunit ribosomal RNA", at positions 1 to 669 of the family's 1533-position model. Lineage: Bacteria; Pseudomonadati; Pseudomonadota; Gammaproteobacteria; Enterobacterales; Enterobacteriaceae. The record is from RNAcentral.
AAAUUGAAGAGUUUGAUCAUGGCUCAGAUUGAACGCUGGCGGCAGGCCUAACACAUGCAAGUCGAACGGUAACAGGAAGCAGCUUGCUGCUUUGCUGACGAGUGGCGGACGGGUGAGUAAUGUCUGGGAAACUGCCUGAUGGAGGGGGAUAACUACUGGAAACGGUGGCUAAUACCGCAUAACGUCGCAAGACCAAAGAGGGGGACCUUCGGGCCUCUUGCCAUCAGAUGUGCCCAGAUGGGAUUAGCUUGUUGGUGAGGUAACGGCUCACCAAGGCGACGAUCCCUAGCUGGUCUGAGAGGAUGACCAGCCACACUGGAACUGAGACACGGUCCAGACUCCUACGGGAGGCAGCAGUGGGGAAUAUUGCACAAUGGGCGCAAGCCUGAUGCAGCCAUGCCGCGUGUAUGAAGAAGGCCUUCGGGUUGUAAAGUACUUUCAGCGGGGAGGAAGGUGUUGCGGUUAAUAACCGCAGCAAUUGACGUUACCCGCAGAAGAAGCACCGGCUAACUCCGUGCCAGCAGCCGCGGUAAUACGGAGGGUGCAAGCGUUAAUCGGAAUUACUGGGCGUAAAGCGCACGCAGGCGGUCUGUCAAGUCGGAUGUGAAAUCCCCGGGCUCAACCUGGGAACUGCAUUCGAAACUGGCAGGCUUGAGUCUUGUAGAGGGGGGUAGAAUUC